This 76-nucleotide non-coding RNA is filed under the name Priestia flexa. The record is from RNAcentral. Lineage: Bacteria; Bacillati; Bacillota; Bacilli; Caryophanales; Bacillaceae.
AACCGCCGUAUACGGAACCGUACGUACGGUGGUGUGAGAGGGGCGAAAAUAUUAAAUUAUUUUCCCUCUACUCGAU